RNAcentral lists this ribosomal RNA (1064 nucleotides) under Barriopsis stevensiana. RNAcentral describes it as "SSU rRNA". It matches the Rfam family "Eukaryotic small subunit ribosomal RNA", at positions 40 to 1112 of the family's 1831-position model. Lineage: Eukaryota; Fungi; Ascomycota; Dothideomycetes; Botryosphaeriales; Botryosphaeriaceae. The record is from RNAcentral.
AAGAUUAAGCCAUGCAUGUCUAAGUAUAAGCAAUCUAUACUGUGAAACUGCGAAUGGCUCAUUAAAUCAGUUAUCGUUUAUUUGAUAGUACCUUACUACUUGGAUAACCGUGGUAAUUCUAGAGCUAAUACAUGCUAAAAACCCCGACUUUCGAAGGGGUGUAUUUAUUAGAUAAAAAACCAAUGCCCUUCGGGGCUCUUUGGUGAAUCAUGAUAACUUAACGAAUCGCAUGGCCUUGCGCCGGCGAUGGUUCAUUCAAAUUUCUGCCCUAUCAACUUUCGAUGGUAGGAUAGUGGCCUACCAUGGUAUCAACGGGUAACGGGGAAUUAGGGUUCUAUUCCGGAGAGGGAGCCUGAGAAACGGCUACCACAUCCAAGGAAGGCAGCAGGCGCGCAAAUUACCCAAUCCCGACACGGGGAGGUAGUGACAAUAAAUACUGAUACAGGGCUCUUUUGGGUCUUGUAAUUGGAAUGAGUACAAUUUAAAUACCUUAACGAGGAACAAUUGGAGGGCAAGUCUGGUGCCAGCAGCCGCGGUAAUUCCAGCUCCAAUAGCGUAUAUUAAAGUUGUUGCAGUUAAAAAGCUCGUAGUUGAACCUUGGGCCUGGCUGGCCGGUCUGCCUCACCGCAUGUACUGGUUCGGCCGGGCCUUUCCUCCUGGGGAUCCGCAUGCCCUUCACUGGGUGUGUUGGGGAACCAGGACUUUUACUUUGAAAAAAUUAGAGUGUUCAAAGCAGGCCUUUGCUCGAAUACAUUAGCAUGGAAUAAUAGAAUAGGACGUGCGGUCCUAUUUUGUUGGUUUCUAGGACCGCCGUAAUGAUUAAUAGGGAUAGUCGGGGGCAUCAGUAUUCAGUUGUCAGAGGUGAAAUUCUUGGAUUUACUGAAGACUAACUACUGCGAAAGCAUUUGCCAAGGAUGUUUUCAUUAAUCAGUGAACGAAAGUUAGGGGAUCGAAGACGAUCAGAUACCGUCGUAGUCUUAACCGUAAACUAUGCCGACUAGGGAUCGGGCGAUGUUAUUCUUUUGACUCGCUCGGCACCUUACGAGAAAUCAAAGUCUUUGGGU